ACGCCCAGCGCGCCGCCGCCUGUAGCCCCUCCCAGCACCCGCGCCCCCACCCACCUCAACCCCCGGAUCGAUCUACCGCUUCUCAACCUACCUCGGCGCCAAUUGGAUUGCUGCGGCGACGGCCUCGUCGAUCCUCAGCUUCGGCACCUACAUCCUGAAGGGGUACGAUCUCGUGUUUGGUAUGGAUCUGAACGCCCACCCCUUCUCAGAUCUGCCUGCUACGAAUUCCUUAUUUGGGUCGGGAGCAAGCUGUAAUCUCAGUACUUGUACUUGUUCAUCCAUCUAAGUGUUUCACCUCUGUACUAGUACUUUCAUCCAUCUGAUUCUUUAACCUCUGAACCUUUCACUCGUACGUUUCUCUGAUUUCUCACCCCGUGGCCACCUUGCUGCUGCUGCUUCACUGACUUAUUGGGAUGGCACAUGAGGCAACAUGCUGCUGCGUUUGGAGAUUUCAUAAAAAAAGACAUUAGCAUGUAGCAAACCAUGAGAGGGUAUUAAACAAAACGGCCACAACACUAAACAGAUGGGUCACCAGUUUAGGAUCAGUAGCAGACCAUGGACAAUUUUGGUCUAAUGAAUAAAGCAAAGAUACCAGGGUAAAACAAAUCAGAUGAGGAAUGUUACACGCAUGAGUACUCACCCAUGAGAGCAGGACAAUAUGUCCUGUUGGAAUUGCUGCAUGUUCAUCGGCACACAGUCAGUCAACAACUCGAGGAGCACGACAAUGUGUGCACUUCACAAAAUUCACCACCUUCUCAUCCUAGUGCCACACAUGAAUCCAGCACAAACUGGUAGAAAUUAAAAUAAGUACCAUGCGCAAAUGUCCCGGAUUCUUAGUCCGAUUUUUAACUUGUUAUCUCGAAGUUCCAGCAGAAGAUUUUUUUAAUGAAUAUCUGUCGAUUGAGCGUUGUGUUUUCAAACUAGAUAAGAUUUUGUUCAUAGGCGCAUCUUAUAUCCAAUGGCAUUGAGUGUGGGUGGCUGGACCGUGGUCUUGAAUCUCCUCUCUCUAUUUCGAGUUAUGAUAAGCUGAUAGUGCAUUGGCAUGCUACUGUGUACCUCUUUGCCCUCUCCAUUCACAUGUUUCUUUUGGUCGGAUUGCUUGGUUCUGCGACCCAAAUUGCAGAGGAGACGUCCACAACUUGUACUGCUUGGUUUUCCUGUCCAAGACUCAAAUCUUCUCCUAGGUGGAUUCUCCUUUCUCCUUCCCUCAUUUAUCUUCUACGAAUUCAUGUCUAUUCGCAAUUUAAAUUGUGCUUGUGAUGUCAUUAUUUAAUCUGUCUUUACUUGUAAUGGUUUUAUUGACACUUAAUUAGUACUUUUCUUAAUCUUGUAUUACAUAAGGAAGUACGCAAGCACGGGAGAACAAGCUUGUCAAUUUUUUUGGAACAUGCCAAAGGGGCAAAGAAUAGUUGUAAAAUGCAAUGAAGAAAGCUAGCCUUUUGGACCAAGCUUGCCAAUUGUUUGGAACAUGCCAA
RNAcentral lists this long non-coding RNA (1475 nucleotides) under Triticum aestivum (bread wheat). Its description in RNAcentral is "long non-coding RNA (TAES_LNC002745)". Lineage: Eukaryota; Viridiplantae; Streptophyta; Magnoliopsida; Poales; Poaceae. The record is from RNAcentral.